CCUUCGAUAGCACAGUUUUGUAAAGCGGGGGACUGUAGAAUUAUAAUUGUGAUCCCUAGGUCGCUGGUUCGAAUCCGGCUCGAAGGA
Molecule: non-coding RNA, 87 nt
Organism: Nematostella vectensis (starlet sea anemone)
Lineage: Eukaryota; Metazoa; Cnidaria; Anthozoa; Actiniaria; Edwardsiidae
Source: Rfam